This 254-nucleotide ribosomal RNA is filed under the name uncultured bacterium. RNAcentral's name for it is "partial 16S ribosomal RNA". It matches the Rfam family "Bacterial small subunit ribosomal RNA", at positions 524 to 776 of the family's 1533-position model. The record is from RNAcentral.
UACGUAGGGUGCGAGCGUUGUCCGGAAUUACUGGGCGUAAAGAGCUCGUAGGUGGUUUGUCGCGUUGUCCGUGAAAAACUCACAACUCAAUUGUGGGCGUGCGGGCGAUACGGGCAGACUGGAGUACUGCAGGGGAGACUGGAAUUCCUGGUGUAGCGGUGAAAUGCGCAGAUAUCAGGAGGAACACCGGUGGCGAAGGCGGGUCUCUGGGCAACAACUGACGCUGAGGAGCGAAAGCGUGGGGAGCGAACAGG